GAUUUCAAAGAAGAUUUUCAAGAUUAAUCUUCUGGGUAAGUGGUUUUACCUCCAACCCUUCAUUACCCAUUUAUUAUUUUGUGAUUUUAGCAUCAAAAUCAUUGAUUUCAAAUUCUAAAAUUGGGAAGUUUCUCAUGAACUUGGGUUUUAGCAAUUUGGACUUUUUAGUAUGAUUUCUAAAUCGUUUUUCGAUACAAUUUCGCGUGUGAAUUCCUAAAUCCUACCUAACAUGUUUUUCUAUAAAAAUUAAGAAUGAAUAAAAGAGCUUCUGUUGUUGGAUUCAUGAAUACUAAAUUUGUCAAACAAUUCCAAGAGCAGUAAUUCUUGUAAGCUCCUCCACUACCCUGAGCUGUCUACAAGAGAAAUGACAUUGCUGAGACCAAUGCUGCUAACAUGAUUCCUCUUGUACCCCAUUAAUCAUCCAAUCACAAGCAAGUUUGCUGCACAAACAGCAGUUCAGGUACAAAGCCCCACAAGUCCCAGGCCAUUAAUAAUUGCUUCAAAACCCUUCAUUUUAUAUAUCAAAUUUGCAAGCUCAAACACCCAACAAUGGAGGUCAACUUCGUACAAUAGCGAUGAAGAUAAGAAGAAAGAGAACAUCGUUUAAAUCCCUCAUUUUGUAGGUUUGUUGGAGGUUGUAUAGAUUAUGUAAAGAUUUUGUUGUUCUGUUUUGAAAUUGGAAUGGUAAUGCGAACUAAGAGUUUUAUUUCAUA
RNAcentral lists this long non-coding RNA (713 nucleotides) under Solanum tuberosum (potato). RNAcentral's name for it is "long non-coding RNA (STUB_LNC001356)". The record is from RNAcentral. Lineage: Eukaryota; Viridiplantae; Streptophyta; Magnoliopsida; Solanales; Solanaceae.